This 378-nucleotide unclassified non-coding RNA is filed under the name uncultured Phycisphaeraceae bacterium. RNAcentral's name for it is "contains 16S-23S intergenic spacer region". The record is from RNAcentral. Lineage: Bacteria; Pseudomonadati; Planctomycetota; Phycisphaerae; Phycisphaerales; Phycisphaeraceae.
UCCGGUUUGUCACCGGCAGUCUCAUUAGAGUGCCCUUUCGUAGCAACUAAUUACAAGGGUUGCGUUCGUUGCGGGACUUAACCAAACACUUCACAGCACGAGCUGACGACAGCCAUGCAGCACCUGUGCACGUUGUACUCUUGCGAGCCUCAUUGAUGUUUCCACCAACUAAUCCGUGCAUGUCAAACCCAGGUAAGGUUCUUCGCGUUGCUUCGAAUUAAGCAACAUGCUCCACCGCUUGUGUGAGCCCCCGUCAAUUUCUUUGAGUUUUAGCCUUGCGACCGUACUCCCCAGGCGGCACACUUAUCAAUUUCUCUACGACCAAUACAGGGUAAAACCUGCAUCGAUCUAGUGUGCAUCGUUUAGGGCGUGGACUAC